GGGUUGUGAGGUUAAGCGACUAAGCGUACACGGUGGAUGCCCUGGCAGUCAGAGGCGAUGAAGGACGUGCUAAUCUGCGAUAAGCGUCGGUAAGGUGAUAUGAACCGUUAUAACCGGCGAUUUCCGAAUGGGGAAACCCAGUGUGAUUCGUCACACUAUCAUUAACUGAAUCCAUAGGUUAAUGAGGCGAACCGGGGGAACUGAAACAUCUAAGUACCCCGAGGAAAAGAAAUCAACCGAGAUUCCCCCAGUAGCGGCGAGCGAACGGGGAGCAGCCCAGAGCCUGAAUCAGUGUGUGUGUUAGUGGAAGCGUCUGGAAAGGCGCGCGAUACAGGGUGACAGCCCCGUACACAAAAAUGCACAUGCUGUGAGCUCGAUGAGUAGGGCGGGACACGUGGUAUCCUGUCUGAAUAUGGGGGGACCAUCCUCCAAGGCUAAAUACUCCUGACUGACCGAUAGUGAACCAGUACCGUGAGGGAAAGGCGAAAAGAACCCCGGCGAGGGGAGUGAAAAAGAACCUGAAACCGUGUACGUACAAGCAGUGGGAGCACGCUUCGGCGUGUGACUGCGUACCUUUUGUAUAAUGGGUCAGCGACUUAUAUUCUGUAGCAAGGUUAACCGAAUAGGGGAGCCGAAGGGAAACCGAGUCUUAACUGGGCGUUAAGUUGCAGGGUAUAGACCCGAAACCCGGUGAUCUAGCCAUGGGCAGGUUGAAGGUUGGGUAACACUAACUGGAGGACCGAACCGACUAAUGUUGAAAAAUUAGCGGAUGACUUGUGGCUGGGGGUGAAAGGCCAAUCAAACCGGGAGAUAGCUGGUUCUCCCCGAAAGCUAUUUAGGUAGCGCCUCGUGAAUUCAUCUCCGGGGGUAGAGCACUGUUUCGGCAAGGGGGUCAUCCCGACUUACCAACCCGAUGCAAACUGCGAAUACCGGAGAAUGUUAUCACGGGAGACACACGGCGGGUGCUAACGUCCGUCGUGAAGAGGGAAACAACCCAGACCGCCAGCUAAGGUCCCAAAGUCAUGGUUAAGUGGGAAACGAUGUGGGAAGGCCCAGACAGCCAGGAUGUUGGCUUAGAAGCAGCCAUCAUUUAAAGAAAGCGUAAUAGCUCACUGGUCGAGUCGGCCUGCGCGGAAGAUGUAACGGGGCUAAACCAUGCACCGAAGCUGCGGCAGCGACACUAUGUGUUGUUGGGUAGGGGAGCGUUCUGUAAGCCUGUGAAGGUGUACUGUGAGGUAUGCUGGAGGUAUCAGAAGUGCGAAUGCUGACAUAAGUAACGAUAAAGCGGGUGAAAAGCCCGCUCGCCGGAAGACCAAGGGUUCCUGUCCAACGUUAAUCGGGGCAGGGUGAGUCGACCCCUAAGGCGAGGCCGAAAGGCGUAGUCGAUGGGAAACAGGUUAAUAUUCCUGUACUUGGUGUUACUGCGAAGGGGGGACGGAGAAGGCUAUGUUGGCCGGGCGACGGUUGUCCCGGUUUAAGCGUGUAGGCUGGUUUUCCAGGCAAAUCCGGAAAAUCAAGGCUGAGGCGUGAUGACGAGGCACUACGGUGCUGAAGCAACAAAUGCCCUGCUUCCAGGAAAAGCCUCUAAGCAUCAGGUAACAUCAAAUCGUACCCCAAACCGACACAGGUGGUCAGGUAGAGAAUACCAAGGCGCUUGAGAGAACUCGGGUGAAGGAACUAGGCAAAAUGGUGCCGUAACUUCGGGAGAAGGCACGCUGAUAUGUAGGUGAAGCGACUUGCUCGUGGAGCUGAAAUCAGUCGAAGAUACCAGCUGGCUGCAACUGUUUAUUAAAAACACAGCACUGUGCAAACACGAAAGUGGACGUAUACGGUGUGACGCCUGCCCGGUGCCGGAAGGUUAAUUGAUGGGGUUAGCGGUAACGCGAAGCUCUUGAUCGAAGCCCCGGUAAACGGCGGCCGUAACUAUAACGGUCCUAAGGUAGCGAAAUUCCUUGUCGGGUAAGUUCCGACCUGCACGAAUGGCGUAAUGAUGGCCAGGCUGUCUCCACCCGAGACUCAGUGAAAUUGAACUCGCUGUGAAGAUGCAGUGUACCCGCGGCAAGACGGAAAGACCCCGUGAACCUUUACUAUAGCUUGACACUGAACAUUGAGCCUUGAUGUGUAGGAUAGGUGGGAGGCUUUGAAGUGUGGACGCCAGUCUGCAUGGAGCCGACCUUGAAAUACCACCCUUUAAUGUUUGAUGUUCUAACGUUGACCCGUGAUCCGGGUUGCGGACAGUGUCUGGUGGGUAGUUUGACUGGGGCGGUCUCCUCCUAAAGAGUAACGGAGGAGCACGAAGGUUGGCUAAUCCUGGUCGGACAUCAGGAGGUUAGUGCAAUGGCAUAAGCCAGCUUGACUGCGAGCGUGACGGCGCGAGCAGGUGCGAAAGCAGGUCAUAGUGAUCCGGUGGUUCUGAAUGGAAGGGCCAUCGCUCAACGGAUAAAAGGUACUCCGGGGAUAACAGGCUGAUACCGCCCAAGAGUUCAUAUCGACGGCGGUGUUUGGCACCUCGAUGUCGGCUCAUCACAUCCUGGGGCUGAAGUAGGUCCCAAGGGUAUGGCUGUUCGCCAUUUAAAGUGGUACGCGAGCUGGGUUUAGAACGUCGUGAGACAGUUCGGUCCCUAUCUGCCGUGGGCGCUGGAGAACUGAGGGGGGCUGCUCCUAGUACGAGAGGACCGGAGUGGACGCAUCACUGGUGUUCGGGUUGUCAUGCCAAUGGCACUGCCCGGUAGCUAAAUGCGGAAGAGAUAAGUGCUGAAAGCAUCUAAGCACGAAACUUGCCCCGAGAUGAGUUCUCCCUGACUCCUUGAGAGUCCUGAAGGAACGUUGAAGACGACGACGUUGAUAGGCCGGGUGUGUAAGCGCAGCGAUGCGUUGAGCUAACCGGUACUAAUGAACCGUGAGGCUUAACCUUACAACGCCGAAG
RNAcentral lists this ribosomal RNA (2926 nucleotides) under Escherichia coli. RNAcentral's name for it is "23S ribosomal RNA". It matches the Rfam family "Bacterial large subunit ribosomal RNA". Lineage: Bacteria; Pseudomonadati; Pseudomonadota; Gammaproteobacteria; Enterobacterales; Enterobacteriaceae. The record is from RNAcentral.